AUGUUCGGGACCCCCAACUCUCCCUCCCUCUUCGGGACGCCCUCUUCUACGCCCUCUUUCGGAACUCCCUCCACUACCCCUGCCUUCGGCACCCCUUCCUCCACGCCGGCAUUUGGCGCGCCGUCGUCCACCCUGGCCUUCGGAGUCCCUUCAUCCACCCCAGCCUUCGGCGCACCCUCCUCUACGCCGGCGUUUUGGACGCCCACUUCGAGCCCGACGUUUGGCACGCCAUCGUCGACGCCGGCGUUCGGAGCGCCGCCGUCGUCAUCGCCGUCACCCUUUGGGUUCCAGCAGCAGGUGACUCCGUCCCCUUCGCCUUUUGGUUUCAGCGGCGGGGCUGGCGGGCAGAUUACCACCCAGAUGGCCCCAGUUGCGCCGCUGCCGCUCUCGCCCUCCGACCGCGACAUUCAGGCUAUGGUGGAUGCGUACAAGGAGGACCCAGGCAACCCUCGCUAUGCUUUUAGGCAUCUGUUGUUUAGCGUGACAGAUCCUUCACAAAGGGUGAAGCCUGUAGCAGCAUCUGAUAUCAUGUGGGCAGAGGCGAUGGGUAAGCUUGAGUGCAUGGAUAGUGCGGACAGGGAGAGGCUAUGGCCUCAACUUGUGCAGGGGUUUAAAGAUCUCUCCUGCCGGCUUAAGCUCCAAGAUGAAGUUCUUGUUUCAGAUACUGAAAGAUUGAGCAUGACCCACUCCAAUGUUAAGAAGCUGCAAAGACAUUUCCAAGCUGACACAUAUCCCUGGAUCCAACGGUUGAAGCAUCAAGAGCUUGUUAUUGAGAGGCGCCUCCUAAGGAUCAUGAGAAUAGUGGAGGCAUUGGAAAACCGGGGUUUCCGUGUUCCGUUAAUGAAAGAGGAAGCUGAUUUAUAUGAAAGAUUGGUUGCUAUAAUAAAGCAGAUAAAAGGAACCAGCGGUGAUCUGUCGAAGAGAGCUUAUAAUCUUCUUUCAACUUCACGUGUUCUUGCAAGCACCGGCUGCGCUAGUGGUCCCAUCUAUAUUCCGAGUUCAACCAAAGUCGAUAAGCAGAAUGUUACCGAGCUUCUUGAGGCAUUGCAACAGCAGACCGAAGCAGUUGGGAAGUUAGGCAAUGUAUUAAAAAGGGAUACCAGGGACGUGGAAAUUGUACUUUCGGAAGACACGGAUAUGGAAGAAGACAGUUCCGGGAGAAGGGCAUUCAAGAUGCAAAACUGA
RNAcentral lists this ribosomal RNA (1185 nucleotides) under Triticum aestivum (bread wheat). Its description in RNAcentral is "partial small subunit ribosomal RNA". The record is from RNAcentral. Lineage: Eukaryota; Viridiplantae; Streptophyta; Magnoliopsida; Poales; Poaceae.